RNAcentral lists this ribosomal RNA (1056 nucleotides) under Triticum aestivum (bread wheat). RNAcentral's name for it is "partial small subunit ribosomal RNA". The record is from RNAcentral. Lineage: Eukaryota; Viridiplantae; Streptophyta; Magnoliopsida; Poales; Poaceae.
AUGGUGUCGGGCGGGUGCGUGGGGACGGAAGGGGGCGCGGAGCCGGAGGAGUCCGCGGCGGCGGCGGCGGUAGCGGCCGAGGAGGUGGUGGCGGCGACGGCGCCCGCGCGCGCCAGGGAGCUGGUGGUCGGGUACGCGCUCACGUCCAAGAAGGCCAAGAGCUUCCUCCAGCCCAAGCUCCGGGGGCUCGCCAGGAAGAAAGGCAUUCAAUUUGUUGCAAUUGAUCAAAAGCUUCCACUGUCAGAUCAAGGCCCUUUUGAUGUUAUUCUGCAUAAGUUGACUGGAAAGGAGUGGCAACGACGGUUGGAGGAAUAUAGAGAGACACACCCAGAAGUUACUGUUCUUGACCCACCAGGUGCCAUAGAACAUUUGCUGAACCGCCAAUCUAUGCUUCAAGAAGUUUCUAAACUGGACCUUGCGGAUUGUCAUGGUAAAGUUGGUGUUCCGAAGCAGCUCUUUGUUAACACAGACCCACUGUCAAUACCAGCUGCGGUUAUGAGGGCUGGGCUAUCGCUUCCUCUAGUGGCGAAGCCUCUGGUGGCGAAGUCUCAUGAGUUGUCUCUUGCUUAUGACGCAGCUUCCUUGACGAAGCUUGAGCCUCCGUUGGUUCUUCAGGAAUUUGUUAACCAUGGCGGUGUCUUAUUUAAGGUCUACAUUGUUGGAGAUGCAAUUAGGGUAGUGCGUAGGUUUUCACUGCCUAACGUGGAUGAGGGUGAUCUAUCAAACGCCGGAGUGUUCCGGUUUCCGAGGGUCUCUUGUGCUGCAGCCACUGCGGAGGAUGCAGAUCUUGACCCCCAUGUUGCUGAACUUCCUCCAAGGCCACUGCUUGAGAUAUUGGCAAGAGAGCUGCGGCGCCGACUGGGUCUUAGACUGUUCAACAUAGAUAUGAUCAGAGAGCAUGGGACAAGGGAUCGGUUUUAUGUUAUAGACAUGAACUAUUUUCCUGGGUAUGGUAAGAUGCCUGGAUACGAGCAUGUUUUCACCGACUUCCUGCUGAGCCUAGACCAGCAGAAGGAGUUCAAGCGACGACCGGGCUAUACCUCGGGCGAGGGGUGA